UAGAAAUGUAGUUUAUUUAAUUAAUUGAUUAAUAGUUAUGGUCUUUAAAGAUAAAUAAUUUGGCGGUAUUUUAGUCUUUUCAGAGGAACCUGUUCUAUAAGCGAUAAUCCACGAGUGUAUCUUCUUAUAUUAGAAAUUUAUAUAUCAUCGUUAUUAAAUAUUUUUUUAGAACGUAAUAUUUAUAAAAUAAGAUUUUAUCUUAAUUCAGAUCAAGGUAUAGUUUAUAUAUAAGUAGUAAUGGGUUACAAUAUUAUUAAAUUUUGAUUUUAUAAUUUAAAUUUAAAUGAAAUUGGAUUUGAAAGUAAUUAUUUUUUUAUAAGAAUAAUGAUUAAGCUCUAAAAUAUGU
Molecule: ribosomal RNA, 346 nt
Filed under: Scymnus tegminalis
Lineage: Eukaryota; Metazoa; Arthropoda; Insecta; Coleoptera; Coccinellidae
Description: partial small subunit ribosomal RNA
Source: RNAcentral